GAACGUACAACAGAUGAUAAUGUUUCCUCCAACAUUUCUCUGAGCUCAACUAAGCUUCUCUUUUAGGUGGAGAGUGGGAGAGUGAAGAUUGAGAAAGAAAAGAAAGGAGAGUAGAGAUGAGAGAAUCUCAGGUUUCCCUAAUUUUUUUUUAUCAGAGAUUAGGCAAAAAGAAAAGAAAAAUAAAAUUUAGGACUCGUUUUGAAUGG
RNAcentral lists this long non-coding RNA (206 nucleotides) under Linum usitatissimum (flax). Its description in RNAcentral is "long non-coding RNA (LUSI_LNC005866)". The record is from RNAcentral. Lineage: Eukaryota; Viridiplantae; Streptophyta; Magnoliopsida; Malpighiales; Linaceae.